AUUGAACGCUGGCGGCAUGCUUUACACAUGCAAGUCGAACGGUAACAGGCCGCAAGGUGCUGACGAGUGGCGAACGGGUGAGUAAUGCAUCGGAACGUGCCCAGUCGUGGGGGAUAACGCAGCGAAAGCCGUGCUAAUACCGCAUACGAUCUAUGGAUGAAAGCGGGGGACCGUAAGGCCUCGCGCGACUGGAGCGGCCGAUGUCAGAUUAGGUAGUUGGUGGGGAAAAGGCUCACCAAGCCAACGAUCUGUAGCUGGUCUGAGAGGACGACCAGCCACACUGGGACUGAGACACGGCCCAGACUCCUACGGGAGGCAGCAGUGGGGAAUUUUGGACAAUGGGCGCAAGCCUGAUCCAGCAAUGCCGCGUGCAGGAAGAAGGCCUUCGGGUUGUAAACUGCUUUUGUACGGAACGAAAAGGUUUGGGUUAAUACCCUGGGCCGAUGACGGUACCGUAAGAAUAAGCACCGGCUAACUACGUGCCAGCCGCCGCGGUAA
Molecule: ribosomal RNA, 498 nt
Filed under: uncultured bacterium
Lineage: Bacteria
Description: partial 16S ribosomal RNA
Rfam family: Bacterial small subunit ribosomal RNA
Source: RNAcentral